CCUACGGGAGACAGCAGUGAGGAAUAUUGGUCAAUGGCCGGAAGGCUGAACCAGCCAUGCCGCGUGAAGGUCAGUGCCCUAUGGGCGUUAAACUUCUUUUGUGCGGGAGCAAUAAUGGUCACGUGUGGCCAGACGAGAGUACCGUACGAAUAAGCAUCGGCUAACUCCGUGCCAGCAGCCGCGGUAAUACGGGGGAUGCAAGCGUUAUCCGGAUUUAUUGGGUUUAAAGGGUGCGUAGGCGGUGAGGUAAGUCAGCGGUGAAAUGCCCCCGCUCAACGGGGUGAAGUGCCAUUGAUACUGCCUGGCUGGAAUGCGGAUGCCGUGGGAGGAAUGUGUGGUGUAGCGGUGAAAUGCAUAGAUAUCACACAGAACACCGAUUGCGAAGGCAUCUCACGAAUCCGCGAUUGACGCUGAUGCACGAAAGCGUGGGUAUCAAACAGGAUUAGAUACCCUGGUAGUC
This 460-nucleotide ribosomal RNA is filed under the name uncultured bacterium. RNAcentral describes it as "partial 16S ribosomal RNA". It matches the Rfam family "Bacterial small subunit ribosomal RNA", at positions 338 to 795 of the family's 1533-position model. The record is from RNAcentral.